GGGGACGUAGCUCAGUUGGGAGAGCGCAUGAAUGGCAUUCAUGAGGUCGUGGGUUCGAUUCCCAUCGUCUCCACCA
RNAcentral lists this transfer RNA (76 nucleotides) under Bacillota bacterium. RNAcentral's name for it is "Firmicutes bacterium (anaerobic digester metagenome) tRNA-Ala". It matches the Rfam family "tRNA". From Rfam's summary of the family: Transfer RNA (tRNA) molecules are approximately 80 nucleotides in length. The record is from RNAcentral. Lineage: Bacteria; Bacillati; Bacillota.